AUAAAUUUAUUAUUUUUAUUUAUUUAAUUAUUUUUAACAAAAGUAAUUUUAAUUUUAUUAUUAUAUAAGAAAAAAUUGAUUUAAUAAUAGUUUAUAGUAUUGUGAAAGAAAAUUUUUAUUAUAAUAAAAGAAAAAUUUAAAUUUUGUACCUUGUGCAUCAGGGUUGAUUAAUAAAAAAUCAUAUAUUUGAUAUUCUCGAAUUUAAAAGAGCUAAUUAAUUAUAUAUUUUAUUGUAAAAUAAAUAUUUAUAAUUUUUAAUUAGAAAUGAAACGUUAUUCGUUUUUAAAUUUAUCUAGUUUUUAAAUAAAUGAAUUUAAUUCAGUUAUUUUAAUUUAAAAAAUUUAUUUAUUAAUUUUUUAUUUAAAAUAAGUAAUUUUUUUAGGGAUAAGCUUAAAAAAAAAUUAUUAUAAUAAUAUAAAUUAUAAAUAAAUUAUAGGAUUAUAAUUUUCUAUAAAUAAUAAAAUGUUAUAAUUAAUUAUUUUUAAAAUAUUAUUUUUAUAUUAUUUAAAUUUUUUAUUUAAAUUUAAAUUUUAAUUUUAAAAAUUUAGUAAUAAUGAUUAAAUUAGUAUAAAUUUAUGUAUAUUUAAUUUUAUAUUUAAGGUUAAUUUAAGGAACUCGGCAAAUUUAUUUUUCACCUGUUUAUUAAAAACAUGGCCUUUUGAUUAUAAUUUAAGGUCUAAUCUGCCCACUGAGUUUUAAAUGGCCGCGGUAUUUUGACCGUGCAAAGGUAGCAUAAUAAUUAGUUUCUUAAUUAGAAGCUGGAAUGAAAGAUUGAAUGAGAAAAUAACUGUCUCAAGUUAAAUUUUUUAGAAUUUUAUUUUUAAGUUAAAAAGCUUAAAUAAAUUUAAAAGACGAGAAGACCCUAUAGAGUUUUAUUUAAUUUAUUUUUAAAUAAAUAUAGAUUUUAGUAUUUUUUAUUUUUAAAUUAAAUUUUGUUGGGGAGAUAGAAAAAUUAAUUAAACUUUUUUUAUAUUAAAACAUUAAUUAAUGAUUAGUUGAUCCAAAUUUAUUGAUUAUAAGAUUAAAUUACCUUAGGGAUAACAGCGUAAUUUUUUUUGAGAGUUCUUAUCGAAAAAAGAGAUUGCGACCUCGAUGUUGGAUUAAAGUUAAAUUUUGGUGUAGAAGCUAAAAAUUUAGGUCUGUUCGACCUUUAAAACUUUACAUGAUCUGAGUUUAAACCGGUGUAAGCCAGGUUGGUUUCUAUCUUUAAAUAAAUAAAAUAUUUUAGUACGAAAGGACCAAGUAUUUAUUAUAUUAAUUUAAAUUUGAAUAUUAUU
RNAcentral lists this ribosomal RNA (1277 nucleotides) under Clerus dealbatus. RNAcentral's name for it is "16S ribosomal RNA". The stretch from base 1037 to 1195 matches the Rfam family "Archaeal large subunit ribosomal RNA", at positions 2542 to 2701 of the family's 2987-position model. Lineage: Eukaryota; Metazoa; Arthropoda; Insecta; Coleoptera; Cleridae. The record is from RNAcentral.